ACACCUGCAUUGGGCACCUGAACUUUCUUUGUUCCAUACCCUCUACUCUUGGUACCUCAGGUUUGGGUGACCUCUAUUAGUGGAUCUUUUCUCCUGUGACUCGGUAAUUGCGAAUAGCCAGGUCUCUCUCAAUGAGAGUUUGGAGGAGGGGGAACUAUUACCCUUGUCUUUAUAUUUCUCUCAUUCCUACCUAUCUCUCUAUGCCUGUUUCCUCUUCUACAAAACUGGGAUAAUAAUAGUUAUCCAUAGGAUUAUUAGUGAAGACUAAAUGAGUUAAUGCAUAUGAAGAAGCUAGAACAGUGUCAGGCACUAUCAAAAUUUUGCUGUGGUUGUUAUUAACAGUAUUGUUAGUAUUAUUACUGCCCUGGCUUGAGCUCAGUCAAGAAUGGCAUGUGGCCAAUUCUCAGCUACAGUUAAUAGUAGUUUAUAGUUAAUAAAAGCCAACUGAAGAGGGAGAAUUCAAAUAUAUUCAUUCAGUAAUUUUUGUGAUAUCCACUAUGUGCUAGGCACAGUGUUAUUUACUGACAACUUUCUAUGAUCUAAUAAAGCCAGAGGAGCUGUGUUCAAACAAUAAUUAAAAGCAUCAUAAAGAUGAACUCAGAGUUUAAUGUAAAGAAUGCCUAGACCCUUGGUCAGUGGCAUGAAUGGCAUUUCCUUGCCUACCUUGGCUGAAGCAAGGGUCCCCUUCCCAACUGAAUUCUUACUCUUUUAACUGACAACACUUACACUUUGUUCUCUUCUCUGCUUGAGAUUUUUUACAGUUUCAUCCUAUUUCUCCUCUGGAUUUCCCCCCUACACAACCACAAUGCUUCAUUUGUUUAGAUCAGUUUAAUCAUUUUCCAGGCAUGGUGAACAGUUUUCCUAUGUGCUUCUUAUUCUCUUCACCAUAGUUCUCGACAUCUAUUGGUUCUAUAAGUUGAUUCAGCCUAGUGGAUGUAUUUGGUGUUUUAAGUUGUGUCAGGUAUGGAGUUAAAAGGUAAAUAUUAAGCUGUUCUUUUCCUUGAGGAGCCCUAUAGUUCCAUGUGGAAGAGACAGGCCCCAAAGUAGGGCAUCUCAGUAUGUUAUGGGGAGUCUGAACGCACAGUAUGCUUUGGCAUCCAUCCAUGUCACAGCUUCCCCUCCACCCCCGUUUCUCAUUACAACACGUACUGCCCAUUAUGUGAAAACCUGGUAUUCUUGACUCACAAUCUGUAGGCGUUACACUCUGUUUUAUACUCUGAGUUUUUUCCAGUACUGGUAAUGGGUUGUACUGAAUCAUUUAUUUACAUUUCCUUGGCCAGUUUAUUUUGACACAUGACAUGUAUUUACUGAUGGAGAAAACACAUGCAGUUUGUGGAUAUGGUGUAAUAUUUUUCCUUUGGAAAUAGAAGAGAGACCUCACUUAAGUUUUACUGGAUGAAUAGUCACCUUGAUGUUUUUAAAUGGUUUCAAAGCAGUACAUGCUGCACUAUCCCUUCUGUGCUUAUUUACAUACAUGUAGACACAUACAUGUUACAAAGAAUAGGAAGAAGAUAGUAAUAUAUAUAUAAUGUACUAUUUGAAUAAUAUUUGAAGCAAAGGAAAACAAGUGGCACAUCACUAAUUUGGACUCUUUCACAUGUUUAUUACCAUAUUUAUUUAUUGAGACUAAGCAUCCAUGCCUUCAUUAAUCCUUAGUGCUUGCUAUGAAAUUAUUUCUUGUUCCACAUAUUUUUAAUCAAUCUGGAUCCAAGUUCAGUCAAUAUUUAAUACACUGUAGGAAUUUCUUUCACUUUAUUGAAUUUGCAUUGCUCAUCUAGUUCUAGAAUAACUUAUUUUCUUAUAGUUAUUGUGCCUAUAAUUCUGUUAUUUCCUCAAGAAGAGUAGGGAUAUCUAGCUAUGACUUGGUGGGACCACAGAUUAGAUCUUUCCAUCUUAGGUUAUGUAGCAGUAACAUUAGCACAUGAUCCAACUUCUUACACGGUGCUUUGGCCAAGAUGUUACUCUUAGUUUUUCUCCCAUCUCUCUGAGUGGUACUUUUGGCAUGGUUUUGUAGCCUUUGGUCCCUCUGCUGGUGUCUCCAGUGUUCCCCAGGAUUUUCUCCUUGGCCCAUUUCUAUCUAUCUUCUUCUUAUACAUGCUCCAUUUGUCAUCUCAUUCACUCUCAUGACUUUAAGUAACACCCAUAAGAUUUUUUUUCUUAGCCACACCUGAGGCCAGGGAUCGAAACCAAGAUCUGAGCAGUGACCCAAGCUGCUGUAGUGACAACACAAAUCCUUAACCCACUGAGCCAUAAGAGAAUUCCAAAUGCCCAUAAGAUACUGAAUGCCUGAUAUGUAUUUCCAGGCUGGAUCUUUUCAGCUUCCUAAGGAAAUCACCAGGACCUCGCAAUGGCGCUACAAGCCCUACCUGACUCUAUUGAAAUCUGUCACUUGUUCCUCCUCCUUGUCCCCUUCAUGGUGAAGCAGCAUUUCUCUACAGAGAAACCAAAGUCACUUGUGAUGCUCUUUCUCUUUCACCUUCCACAUGAAAUCCUAUCAUUCAACCCAAGUGCACCUCCCCUGUUCUUUCUGAUUUCCUGACACUGCUUAACUCAAAGCCUUUCUCAUCCCUUACCUGAAAGACUGACAGACUCUCUCUUUCAUUUCUUACUUCUACUACCCACAUUGCCAUGAGUACCAACUUUCAAACAUGUACCUCCUUCAUUCUGAGUCAUGCCCAUGGGCUGUAGGAUAAAGUUCAAACUCUCCAGCAGGACCUACAAAGCACUCUUCCACAUCUGGCUGAGCAAUCAGCCUCAUCUCCUAGUUCAGGUCUCCUCAUGAUGCUCAGACAAGUCCUUUGCCCCAGACACUUCACCUUUUCCCAAUAUGGUCUUUGCCCUUUUAUUUUUUUGUAUUUUGUUCAUGCUAUUUAUUCUCUGUGGACUGCCCUCCCUCUUCCCUCUUCUCUGCUGAGAAAACUCUUCCUCAUUUUUUUUUGUCUUUUUUUUUUUUUUUUUUUUAGGGCCACACCUGUGGCAUAUGGAGGUUCCCAGGCUAGGGGUCCAAUCAGAGCAGUAGCAGUCAGCCUAUACCACAGCCACAGCAAUGCCAGAUCCUAGCCACAUCUGCAACCUACACCACAGCUCAACACCGGAUCCUUAACCCACUGAGUGAGGCCAGGAAUGGAACCCACAACCUCAUGGUUCCUAGUCGGAUUUAUUUCCACUGCGCCACGACAGGAACACCUCUUCCUCCUUUUUUAGGGCUCAUUGCAGAUCUCACCUGCUUGAGAUGCCUUUUCCAGGCUUCCCACUCUGUGGGCUGCUCCUCACACUGUGCCUCCACAUCACUCUGUACUGACCUUGGAUAUGUUCAACACCAGAACUCAGUAGUGCACUCAUUUAUCUCUUUUAUAACUAAACUUUGAGCUCUGGUUGGAUAGGAAACUUCAAGUCAUCCAACAUUUUUUCAAUUACCCAACGCAGUCCCUGUCAUAUACAAGACUCCCUCAACUGUAGACCAAAGAAGUAAACUUUAUAGUAAUAGUUAAAGAAAUAUCAAGAAAAGCAUUUUGUGUGUUUUUUUUUUCUCAUGCCCGUCCUCAGCUGUAUCAGUCACUCAUUUGUCCAUCUUUCGGUUUCCUCCGUCUCCUUUAAUACUACUUUCUCAUCUUUCUUUCAGGUAUGGGCCUUCAGUAUUGCAAAGCAUUAGAACCGGGUAUAUCUGCAGUUUCCUGGUGGUUUGGAGUGUUAAUAUUUUAAACACCUUUGAGUUUAAUAGCCUGUCUUUCUCUAAACUAGACCUGUCAGUGAGAGUGCCAAGUGCCUCCUCAGUUCUCCCACCUCUGAAACGCCCUAGCUGUUCAAUCCUAAUUGGAAACAUUUUAGGGGUAGAAGUGGCUUUUUGUUACUCUAAAUUUCUGUUAACCUAAGGGAUGGCUUUGCAUCACAUUCAUAUGCCUUGUGGUUGCCACCUUUUUAUUUUUUGUGUGGCCAAAAUUCAUAAAUCAAGAUCAGAACACCCAGUUUUUCUCAAAUCAUCCUAAGCUGUCAUGAUCUUAUUUUUUUCCAAUCAGAAUGAGAUUUUUCUCACAAGCUGUGAUUCUUACUCCACCAACUCCUCCUUCCUGAUAGAAACUUCAUAUAUAUUGAAGGGGCUUUGUGUGUUCUAUUAUUAUUAAAGCUAUAUUUUGUCAGAUUAAUGCUGUCUGUUCACAAAGAAGCAUUGCCAUUUUCUUCUCAAUGUAAUUGGGCAGGGGUUGAAUGCCUUUAUAAACAAAAAUAUAAAACAAUUCUUAACAUAUUCUGAUAAAUAAUAUAGUCCCAAAAGAUAUUUCCUUUGUGAUAAAUUGAACUCUAAUUCAUGAAUUUUUAAAUUGUUCCUUCCUGCUAUAGACAUGAAUUUCUAAAGUGUGUGUGUGUGUGUGUGUGUGUAGACAUUAAUUAUUGUCAGGGUGGGGAGUAGAGCAAAUUGUGGCCCUAAAUUUCUUUUAAUAAUAAUUUAUAUAUCCAUGUCUCCUUUCUUUUCCAAAUCUGGCUUCCUUAUUAUUUUAAUGGUUUCUAGCUUUACUACUAAUGCAUGAACUUGACUUUUCUAAAUCAUCUUUUUAAAUGGAAAGUAAAAGCUGUGAAAUGCAAAAACACUUUCAAGUUAACAAUAGUAAGUUAAUAUUUAUUGAACACUUACCAUGUGCCAGACACUCGAAUAAGCACUUUAUAUAUACUGUCUCCUUUGGUCAAGAAUUAUAAUCCAAAUGCAAACACUAAAUGAAAUACUUAAAAGCAAAGGGAGUUCCUCUUGUGGCUCAGCAGAAACGAAUCCAACUAGGAACCAUGAGGUUGGGGGUUCGAUUCCUGGCCUUACUCAGUGGGCUAAGGAUCCGGUGUUGCCAUGAGCUGUGGUGUAGGUCACAGACACAGCUUGAAUCUGGCAUUGCUGUGGCUGUGGCGUAGGCCGGUGGCUAUGGCUCCGAUUAGACUCCAAGCCUGGGAACCUCCAUAUGCCAUGGGUGCGACCCU
RNAcentral lists this long non-coding RNA (4959 nucleotides) under Sus scrofa (pig). RNAcentral's name for it is "lncRNA (ENSSSCG00040004316.1)". The record is from RNAcentral. Lineage: Eukaryota; Metazoa; Chordata; Mammalia; Artiodactyla; Suidae.